This 1894-nucleotide long non-coding RNA is filed under the name Theobroma cacao (cacao). RNAcentral's name for it is "long non-coding RNA (TCAC_LNC002232)". The record is from RNAcentral. Lineage: Eukaryota; Viridiplantae; Streptophyta; Magnoliopsida; Malvales; Malvaceae.
CCAGAAGCUUUUUCCUAUCUUGAAACCGGCAGAGUUACUGGCAAAAUCGUCCUUCACCCAAUUCCAUGAAUAGAAUGAAUACGGAAUAUGUAUAAUAUUAUCGAAGUUAAACUUAUUAUAGAAAUUUCUUGAAACGUAUGAAUUAACCCUUUUUCCUAUAUAUUAAAUCAAAUCAUAAUAUUCAAGUAGUCAUCCGAAUAAUAUAAAUUCUAACUAGAAUUCCUUUGUAAUUAUUGAAUUCCUUUAUAUUAUAUGCAUACCAGUCCAAAAUCUUUACAAAAACUCAAUAUAGAAAAACAAAUUCCUCCCAUAGUUGACUCUAAACGUAUACAAUAUGACCCUACCUAGAGAACAGAACAAUCAACAUUUACCUCAAACAAAAAUGUAACAUUUGCUGUGUUUAUGAGAGUCUUUCAGGUAUACACUGAGUGCAAAGCAGUUAAUAUGUAUGCAGCAAAGGGAAAACCCAAAAAAAAAAACUAUGCUGUAACAAAAGUUAUUUGACAAAAAGAAGCUGCAACAAUGUGAGUUGUGCAACUAAUAAUUAUUAGCAUUCUGAUAUAUAUUACAAACUUGCUAAACAAGCUGUGAACAGUGAUAACACAAUUGAUUACUAGCUAAAACAUCACUUAGUCAGUUACUAGGGGCAUAAGCAUCAUAAUUUUGACAGUGAAGUAGUUGCUAUCACAGCACAAAACAUCUUGGUAGAAACCAUUGGUUGAUAGCAAGCACUAUGCAGGUCUUCAAUACAAGUCUUAAUUCAACACUCCUUCUUAGGACUUGCUUUGCAGACCCUUAACUUCAAUCUAAGGUCUUCAAACCUCUGCUUUGGCAAUGAUUUAGUGAAAAUAUCAGCAACUUGAUUUUUGGAGCUACAGUAGUUACAUUUAACUUCACCAUUACUUUCUGCGUCAUGUAUAGCAUGGAACUUGACUUUAAUGUGUUUUGUUCUGCCAUGGUUAAUAGGAUUUUAAGCAAUAGAAAUGGCACUCUUUUUAUCCAAAAUAACUCAGUGGCUCCUUUUUGUUCAAUCUUCAGAUCUUGAAUCAAUUUUCUGAGCCAUAUUGCUUGAUUUAUGAUAGCUGUAGCAACAAUAUAUUCUAUUUCAGCUAUUGAUUGAGCCACAACAUCUUGCUUCCUGGAAUUCCAGCUGAAAGCAGGAUUCCUAAGGGGAAAACAUAACCUGAAGUGCUUUUACAAUCGGUAGAGUCCCCUGCAUAAUCACUACCACUAAAGCCAUGUAGCUGGACUUCAAAAAUUCUUUUGUAACUCAAACCAAAGUCUAAGAUGCCUUUCAAAUAUCUUAAAAUUCUUUUAACAGCCAUGAAAUGUUGAAAUUGAAGGAGUUUGCAUGAAUCUUGAAAGGUAACUUAUUGAGAACAUAAUGUUUGGUCGAGUGCCACAUGCAUAUAAUAGACUCCCUAUUAAACUCCUAUAUGAUGAAGGCUCAGUAAACUCAGGAAGAUCACCAACAUCAGCUUUGUCAUUCACAACCACAAGACAAUCAACAGAUUUGCAACUCAACAUAUUAAACCUCUUGAGAAUCUCAAAAAUGUAAUUUUUCUGAGAAAAAAAAAAAGAUACCUUUUAAUUGCUCCAAAAGUACUUUUAAAUAGCCUCCAAAAUACUUACUUCGAAUCAAAUCCGGAAAAAAUUCUUAAAGAGAUAUCGUGCUGAUGCCACGGCCUCCACUUUCUGGCGUCGCGGCUCCCAACUCCCGGAUGCCUUGGCAUCGCAGCCUUACGUCUCUAGCGUCACAACGCCCUACUUGUUACCCCAUGUAUGGCUGCCUCAUCUUCUUGGUGCUGUCGCACCCAUAAUUCCGUGGCCGCAACGCCCAACUUGUUGAUUUUUUACUUAGCUUCAUUUUUAUUCACCGUUUUGAAGCCUUUGG